CUUCAAACUACCGCCAGGGCUCAUUAAAACUGUAGCUCAGUGCUUUCUUAGUUGGGUGUUGUCCUUUACUUUGGUGUCAUCUACACAUUUGGAAGCUUUCACAACCCCACUCACCCUCAGCUGUCUGGACUCCAUAUCACAUAGAUAAUCUCAUUCUCUUGUGUAAAUAUUCUGUAAAAGGGACAGUGUGGACUCCAGUGAUGCAGCCUAAGUCUUGUAAAGAAAAAUAAACUGUGACUCCAUCUACUCACUUUAAAAAACAAAAACAAAUCGACAGCAGAAAAACUCACAACUGGCUGUUCUAACGCUUCAGUGAGAAGACAGGAGGACUUGCUUCUGCACGAUGUUCGGACAUACGAAGGCACGCAGAGUCCGCCUGAUCCCUGGGUUAAAAGGGAGACACAACUUGAUAUCUUUUUUUUUUUCCUUUGUUUUUUGAUUGUUCCAGCCAGGCCGGGUUGAUAAAGUUAACAUUAUUAGUCUUGUCUGUCUUUUUAGGCUCCGACACUGUACACAGAACACGAGACAAUAUUAAGGGUGCCUUUCUACCUGUACCUUACCUUUUUUUUCUGAUGGGAUAUUAACCAAUGCAAGGCUGCAGAAUCAGUAGCGUCAGGCAACACUCAAUCGCUUGCAAUCAUUUCACCCAUCAGCCUUUUGGUGUCAAAUGUGGUUAUAAAGCUCCUAUCUGCAGUUUGAUGUGUCCGUGCACUGUAUGCAGGCUGUCAGGGAUUUGUCAGCUAAUAGUAAGCCACAAACACUGGGCUUCUGCUUACAUCCAAAGUUGUUGGCCACUUAUUUUAUACUGCAGUUACAUGAGCAGCACAUUUGACAAACUUUAUCUUUAGAGACCUCACAAAAUGUAAUGGAUGCAGUUUUGGGCAGCGGGAGGAUGUUUAGAUUUCAUUGUUAAAUGUUCACUCAGUAUUAGACGUGUCUGUGCAGCAUACUGAUUGUUGCAUUUGUACACAGUGUCAUAAAGUAAUGUACAUACACACGUAACAUAAAAAAUAUAAAAAUGCAAUAGGUAUAUAAUACAAAUAUUAUUCUAAUUGAUGUAUUUUGCGUAUAUGCAUGUCUUCUAGGAUGUAAGGAAAAGCAAUUGUUUUAUUUGAAAGCAGAUUUUAGUUCUUUCAAUUUGAAAGAUUUUUAAUCCCAAACAAGAUUCUGAGGAUAAUCCACUGUUUUUUUCAUGAGUCUGUGUG
Molecule: long non-coding RNA, 1205 nt
Organism: Etheostoma cragini (Arkansas darter)
Lineage: Eukaryota; Metazoa; Chordata; Actinopteri; Perciformes; Percidae
Exons: 3
Source: RefSeq, a predicted model, not a curated record